UCCGGUGUGGCGCAAUGGUAGCGCGGAUGCCUGUUAAGCAUUAGGUUGUAGGUUCGAAUCCUACCACCGGAGCCA
This 75-nucleotide transfer RNA is filed under the name Candidatus Pacearchaeota archaeon. RNAcentral describes it as "tRNA-Asn". It matches the Rfam family "tRNA". Rfam says of the family: Transfer RNA (tRNA) molecules are approximately 80 nucleotides in length. Their secondary structure includes four short double-helical elements and three loops (D, anti-codon, and T loops). The record is from RNAcentral. RNAcentral also lists the same sequence under 3 other names. Lineage: Archaea; Nanobdellati.